CUUAGUCAUGCUGUUUGGGAUAGUGACCAAGUUCUGCAGCGGUCAUGCCCCCAUUUCCCAAUGAAGAAAAUUCUGCAGCUGCCUUGGAAGACCAUCCUGAUGGGAAUAAUGUUUAUGUGUCUGUAUAUGGCAAGGGUCUCAACACUCCUCCUGGUGAUCUACUGUCUUGACGAUUUUAGCCCAACCCCAAUCAAACACAGCCGAAGCAGCUAAUCAAACUGUUCAGGGUUGCUUUAUAAUAACAGAAAGAUGUGUUGGAGCUUGGUAGGAACUGAAGUCUGCAGGAUCGUAGCUUACCGGGAACAGGGUUGGAAACACCUGGUAUAUGGAGAUAAAAUGAUUGCUUUUAGAGGAUUCGAGCAGUUGCAGAGCAGUAAGGUUAGUAAACUGCAGCACUGGGUUUGCCGUCCCUGCCAAAGGACACCAUCUGUGCGGUGAGAAGUAUGAGAGCGGCAUCUUUACAUGGCGUCUGCCUCCGAUCUCAUCAAACAACAGCCGAGACGUUACAAGAAAGAAAACAAUGGUUUAAAAUGUUUUUGAUUAGGGAAAAAAAUAGAAGUGUAAACUUUGGAUAGAAGUAAACGGAACAUGAGUGGUCUCUCUUGAUCAUAAAUGAGGACAGAUUACAGGACUUUAGAAGGCCUGAAGCCGUGAUCAUCUUGCGGAAGUGCUGCUUUAUCUGUAGCCUGACUCUUUCGCAAUUUCUGCCCUGUCGCCCGUCACACUGAACGUUUUUGGAAUGGAAUUCUCGUGCUGUCCUGCACCAGACUAUUUCGCAAAUACUGCCAUGAUAGUCUAAACACCCUGGACAUGAUAGACUGAGACAAG
This is a non-coding RNA of Paramisgurnus dabryanus, 828 nucleotides long. NCBI's taxonomy places the organism in Eukaryota, Metazoa, Chordata, Actinopteri, Cypriniformes, Cobitidae. The record is from RefSeq and is a predicted model, not a curated record.